This is a long non-coding RNA of Carcharodon carcharias (great white shark), 764 nucleotides long. RefSeq lists it as uncharacterized. Lineage: Eukaryota; Metazoa; Chordata; Chondrichthyes; Lamniformes; Lamnidae. The transcript has 3 exons. The record is from RefSeq and is a predicted model, not a curated record.
AAGCAGCAAACGGGAGGGAGUGGAUGGGAAAGAGUGAGAGGGCUCAGGAGAGGAAAGUGGCAAGCAGGAGUGAACAGUUCAGGAUGAAACAUCAGCAGACGACAAGCCAAGGACCUGCCUUCAGGCAAAGCAGACAUGAAUGAAUGAACCCACAGUGACAAGGAAGGGAGGCAGGACUUUAGAAGUGUAGUCACAGUUGUAACGGAGAUGGUCAUUGCCUGUGACACAAAGGCUUCUUGCCCCUUAGCAGCCCAAGUCUCAAUGUGAUCCAGGUCUUGCUGCAAAUGGACACAGACUGCUUCCUUCAGUAUCUGAGGAUUGUGAAUACUUCUAAUGGAUUAAUCUAACAAGCUAUCUAAUAAGCACAUCACUGAAAAAUGAUAUAAUGGAGUCAGCUAACAAACAUUUUUAUGUUCCUUUUUUACAUGCUGUGAUCGAUGUGCAAAGAAACUUCUCAAUCCCAGUUUUAUCUGGUUUUACUUGAUCACUUAGCAUGAAUACUGCCUCUGUCUGCUGUACAAAAAUAUCUAGCUCAAGCUGGUCAUUACCAGUUAAAUUCCAGUGCUUGUCUGUCGAUGAGUACAUUGUCAAUUGCAGCUGGGGAUUUACAAUUAGAAAUAGCAGUUCAUUCACUGAAAUGCAUUUCUAAUGUUACAGCCCUUCCUCCAUAUCAAAUUCUGUCCAAACCUGUUGAUGUUGUACUGGUUCAAACAGCAUGUUCCUAAUAAAUGUGUUUUUUUUCCUCAAAUAAAAUUUGGAUAGAA